UGAGGGAAGUACAGAAACCCACGCCAGGAUGUCUGCUCCAAAGGUCAUUCUGCUCCUGUCUGAUAAAUCCAGCUGCGGGAUCUGCUGAUCUGAAGGAGCUGGUUGGAGUCAACCUAGAAUUCCAAAAAGCACUGGAGCAGCUCUUGUACACUGACCGCUUCUUUAAGAAUGACUUUGCUGUAGUUUUGCAGCCGUUCCUGAAACACGCAGAUCCUCCAAGACUCCCUAACGGGAAGAUUGACAUGAGCUUUUUUACUCCGGACUGUUUCCAGUU
This is a long non-coding RNA of Cyprinus carpio (common carp), 274 nucleotides long. RefSeq lists it as uncharacterized. The transcript has 4 exons. The record is from RefSeq and is a predicted model, not a curated record. NCBI's taxonomy places the organism in Eukaryota, Metazoa, Chordata, Actinopteri, Cypriniformes, Cyprinidae.